Long non-coding RNA from Thalassophryne amazonica, 526 nucleotides. RefSeq lists it as uncharacterized. The transcript has 3 exons. Lineage: Eukaryota; Metazoa; Chordata; Actinopteri; Batrachoidiformes; Batrachoididae. The record is from RefSeq and is a predicted model, not a curated record.
CUUCUGGGUCUGGCGCCCUCUCGUGCUUGGAGCCCGCACUCCAAGCAGGGCGCCCUCUGGUGGUGGUGGGCCAGCAGUACCUCCUCUUCAGCGGCCCACAUAACAUGUGGUGCUCCAUGGCUGAACAGAAAAUAUAUUUCAAUGUGCACCUGUCCAAAUGUGCCCGCGCUGGUUUUCAUUUGGAACAAUUACAUGAAUAAACUAUUUACACAGCAAGCAGCCACCCAUUGCGCACCAUGCCAGCCUACCUGUCCCCAACCCAACCCAAUGCAUUUGCAUAUCACAUUUUACCACUGAUGGAAUGAAAAUGUUUUCUAUCAACAAAACAAAUUCAUCAUGUCAUGGCGCCUAGAUAGCAAUAUGGGUGCAGUCAGUGGCUCUGAUUACGUUAGGGAAACCAGCUCUCACUGCAAAAUGCACUUUAAUGUUGGAAUGUGAUGUACCUGGAUGACAUUCGGAUGAUUGCGUGCCACACAGCUGGCAUGGCUUGGCUCAAGGUUGACUGGCACAUUGUUGACCAGGCUGU